UACGAACCGUGCGAACGUUAUUCGGAAUCACUGGGCUUACAGGGUGAGUAGGCGGCUUGUUAAGUAGGGUGUGAAAGCCCCCGGCUCAACCGGGGAAUUGCGCCCUAAACUGGCGAGCUGGAGUGAGAUAGGGGUGUGUGGAACUUCCGGUGGAGCGGUGAAAUGUGUUGAUAUCGGAAGGAACGCCGGUGGCGAAAGCGACACACUGGAUCUUGUCUGACGCUGAGGCACGAAAGCCAGGGGAGCGAACGGG
RNAcentral lists this ribosomal RNA (253 nucleotides) under uncultured bacterium. Its description in RNAcentral is "partial 16S ribosomal RNA". It matches the Rfam family "Bacterial small subunit ribosomal RNA", at positions 524 to 776 of the family's 1533-position model. The record is from RNAcentral.